CAAAGGCCUAAACUUAACACUCUGCUCAGGAAACGGAGGGCUUCAUUUCGGUGUCUGUCCAGGCCACAGCCUAAUGGGUCAUUAAAUAAACUCGAGAGGAGAAACAGCCACGGGAAGAAGGAAAGCCGCUCCCUAGCUGAAUAAACUGAGAUCCAGAGAGGAACUGAAGGACUGAGGCCUCGGCUGCUGGGAUUCCAUGGGCUUCCCCAGUUUUCCAGGGAAACUCACGAAGGUGGACCUGAGAUCUAUUUCAAGCUGGUUCCCAGCCUCGCUGUGGGACCACCAGGAGCUCACCUGCCCUCUCUGGACUCCAGUCUCACCUCUCUCAGGGAAUCAGAGGAGUUGGAUUAGAAAUAGCCAGUAUCAGAGCUCAAGACAACUGACCAGUGAUUGAGGAAUUUUAGUUCUCCAUUACGAAGACUCAGUGAUGCUCUCCCAUUCCGUACGUACACAGCCCACAGAACACAACAUGCAGUUGCCUGUGCCUACGCAUCACACACCCUCUGGGACGCAGGCAUGGCAGACACCCGGCAUCAAUGCGCUGCUUCAGGGCGGUCCGUCCCAGGGGCGGCUUUGAUGGGCGUCUCUGGAGAAAUCUACUCCGUGGGGUUCGUGGGCUCAAGACCUUGGAAAACUUUCUGAAAUGUCGUUGACCAGCUUGGCUGACAUAUUAAUUUGCCUCCUGUUUCCAUUUUCUU
This is a long non-coding RNA of Equus caballus (horse), 698 nucleotides long. RefSeq lists it as uncharacterized. The record is from RefSeq and is a predicted model, not a curated record. Lineage: Eukaryota; Metazoa; Chordata; Mammalia; Perissodactyla; Equidae.